AUACGUAGGUGGCAAGCGUUGUCCGGAAUUAUUGGGCGUAAAGCGCGCGCAGGCGGUCCUUUAAGUCUGAUGUGAAAGCCCACGGCUCAACCGUGGAGGGUCAUUGGAAACUGGGGGACUUGAGUGCAGAAGAGGAAAGUGGAAUUCCAAGUGUAGCGGUGAAAUGCGUAGAGAUUUGGAGGAACACCAGUGGCGAAGGCGACUUUCUGGUCUUUAACUGACGCUGAGGCGCGAAAGCGUGGGGAGCAAACAGGAUUAGAUACCCGGGUAGUCCACGCCGUAAACGAUGAGUGCUAAGUGUUAGGGGGUUUCCGCCCCUUAGUGCUGCAGCUAACGCAUUAAGCACUCCGCCUGGGGAGUACGGUCGCAAGACUGAAACUCAAAGGAAUUGACGGGG
Molecule: ribosomal RNA, 397 nt
Filed under: uncultured bacterium
Lineage: Bacteria
Description: partial 16S ribosomal RNA
Rfam family: Bacterial small subunit ribosomal RNA
Source: RNAcentral